Molecule: ribosomal RNA, 497 nt
Filed under: uncultured bacterium
Lineage: Bacteria
Description: partial 16S ribosomal RNA
Rfam family: Bacterial small subunit ribosomal RNA
Source: RNAcentral
GAUGAACGCUGGCGGCGUGCCUAAUACAUGCAAGUCGAGCGAACGGACGAGAAGCUUGCUUUUCUGAUGUUAGCGGCGGACGGGUGAGUAACACGUGGAUAACCUACCUAUAAGACUGGGAUAACUUCGGGAAACCGGAGCUAAUACCGGAUAAUAUUUUGAACCGCAUGGUUCAAAAGUGAAAGACGGUCUUGCUGUCACUUAUAGAUGGAUCCGCGCUGCAUUAGCUAGUUGGUAAGGUAACGGCUUACCAAGGCAACGAUGCAUAGCCGACCUGAGAGGGUGAUCGGCCACACUGGAAGUGAGACACGGUCCAGACUCCUACGAGAGGCAGCAGUAGGGUAUCUUCCGCAGUGGGCGGAAGCCUGACGGAGCAACGCCGCGUGAGUGAUGAAGGUCUUCGGAUCGUAAAACUCUGUUAUUAGGGAAGAACAUAUGUGUAAGUAAAUGUGGCGUGCGUGACGGUACCUAAUCAGAAAGCCACGGCUAACUACGUG